This is a long non-coding RNA of Quercus lobata, 162 nucleotides long. RefSeq lists it as uncharacterized. The record is from RefSeq and is a predicted model, not a curated record. The transcript has 3 exons. Lineage: Eukaryota; Viridiplantae; Streptophyta; Magnoliopsida; Fagales; Fagaceae.
CAUACCCAUACCCAUACCCAUUCCGAUUUUGGUUGAUGACAUUCAACUCUCUUUGGCUGAAGUCAAACUUGCUUGGUUACCCAUUCCGAUUUUGCUUGAUGACAUUCUUGCUUGGAUAGUGCAUAUUGUUGCUGCCAUCCUUAAGACUUUCCAAAUUUCUGG